UACGUAGGGGGCAAGCGUUGUCCGGAAUCAUUGGGCGUAAAGAGCGUGUAGGCGGCUUGGUAAGUCCGCUGUGAAAGUCCGGGGCUCAACCCUGGAAUGCCGGUGGAAACUGUCAAGCUUGAGUCCGGAAGAGGCGAGUGGAAUUCCUGGUGUAGCGGUGAAAUGCGCAGAUAUCAGGAGGAACACCAAUGGCGAAGGCAGCUCGCUGGGACGGUACUGACGCUGAGACGCGAAAGCGUGGGGAGCAAACAGG
Molecule: ribosomal RNA, 253 nt
Filed under: uncultured bacterium
Lineage: Bacteria
Description: partial 16S ribosomal RNA
Rfam family: Bacterial small subunit ribosomal RNA
Source: RNAcentral